This 498-nucleotide ribosomal RNA is filed under the name uncultured bacterium. Its description in RNAcentral is "partial 16S ribosomal RNA". It matches the Rfam family "Bacterial small subunit ribosomal RNA", at positions 29 to 523 of the family's 1533-position model. The record is from RNAcentral.
AGUGAACGCUGGCGGCAUGCCUUACACAUGCAAGUCGAACGGUAACAGGUCUUCGGAUGCUGACGAGUGGCGAACGGGUGAGUAAUACAUCGGAACGUGCCUAGUAGUGGGGGAUAACUACUCGAAAGAGUGGCUAAUACCGCAUGAGAUCUACGGAUGAAAGCAGGGGAUCGCAAGACCUUGUGCUACUAGAGCGGCCGAUGGCAGAUUCGGUAGUUGGUGGGAUAAAAGCUUACCAAGCCGACGAUCUGUAGCUGGUCUGAGAGGACGAUCAGCCACACUGGGACUGAGACACGGCCCAGACUCCUACGGGAGGCAGCAGUGGGGAAUUUUGGACAAUGGGCGAAAGCCUGAUCCAGCAAUGCCGCGUGCAGGAUGAAGGCCUUCGGGUUGUAAACUGCUUUUGUACGGAACGAAAAGCCCCGGGUUAAUACCCUGGGGUCAUGACGGUACCGUAAGAAUAAGCACCGGCUAACUACGUGCCAGCCGCCGCAGUAA